GUGCUCGCUUCGAUAGCACAUACGCUAAAAUUGGAAAGAUACAGAGAAGAUUAGCAUGGUCCCUGCGCAAGGAUAACAUGCAAAUUCAUGAAGCAUUUCAUAUUUUU
Molecule: small nuclear RNA, 107 nt
Organism: Sorex fumeus (smoky shrew)
Lineage: Eukaryota; Metazoa; Chordata; Mammalia; Eulipotyphla; Soricidae
Source: RefSeq, a predicted model, not a curated record